CCUACGGGAGGCAGCAGUGAGGAAUAUUGGUCAAUGGCCGGAAGGCUGAACCAGCCAAGCCGCGUGAAGGACGAAGGUGCCAAGCAUUGUAAACUUCUUUUGUCAAGGGACAAAAUCAGGCUCGAGAGCCUGACCGAGGGUACUUGAAGAAAAAGCAUCGGCUAACUCCGUGCCAGCAGCCGCGGUAAUACGGAGGAUGCGAGCGUUAUCCGGAUUUAUUGGGUUUAAAGGGUGCGUAGGCGGGCAGUUAAGUCAGCGGUAAAAGGCCGGGGCUCAACCCCGGCCUGCCGUUGAAACUGGGUGCCUUGAGAGGGCGAGAGGUAUGCGGAAUGCGUAGUGUAGCGGUGAAAUGCAUAGAUAUUGCGCAGAACCCCGAUUGCGAAGGCAGCAUACCGGCGGCGAUCUGACGCUGAGGCACGAAAGUGCGGGUAUCGAACAGGAUUAGAUACCCGGGUAGUC
RNAcentral lists this ribosomal RNA (459 nucleotides) under uncultured bacterium. Its description in RNAcentral is "partial 16S ribosomal RNA". It matches the Rfam family "Bacterial small subunit ribosomal RNA", at positions 338 to 795 of the family's 1533-position model. The record is from RNAcentral.